Long non-coding RNA from Tachysurus fulvidraco (yellow catfish), 468 nucleotides. RefSeq lists it as uncharacterized. The transcript has 3 exons. NCBI's taxonomy places the organism in Eukaryota, Metazoa, Chordata, Actinopteri, Siluriformes, Bagridae. The record is from RefSeq and is a predicted model, not a curated record.
AAGAAAAUGGCUUCCACCCGAGUCUGGGUUUAUCAGGGUUUGUGUUGGCUUCAGUGAAAGGCCUCUUAAUGGGAAACAGUUGUUUUUAUUGCCAUUAAGGGUCUCUUGUGUCACCCCCAUUGCAUACUUAGAAGUACAACAUGGACAAUGGAUUAAAACGGUGACUGGAGAAUGCAGCUAGCUUAUUUGAGGAGGUGGUGAUGGAUACGUCGUAAAGCACUCAGAAGACAACACAAUACGGAUAAGCUCAUCAAACCCCUUUGCUUUCGUCUUCAGUGUUGUGAGCCUCUUUAAAACUGGACAUCUACCCUACUGUAGAUGAGACUGCUUUGGUUUUACAGGAUUCAGAGAGGAACUGAAGAGAAGACACCAGAAUGUUCCAUACACCAUAACCCCCCCCCCCAACGCACGCACACCCACACCCACGCACACACACACACCCACACACACGUAUGCACGCACGCGCAC